GACAACUUGGCCGAGUGGUUAAGGCGACAGACUUGAAUAAAUUUCUGGAUUAUACUCUUUAGAAUUUACUUAUUCUGCUAUCUGUUGGGUUCGCCCUCACAGGUUCGAAUCCUGUAGUUGUCG
Non-coding RNA from Cladorrhinum samala, 123 nucleotides. Lineage: Eukaryota; Fungi; Ascomycota; Sordariomycetes; Sordariales; Podosporaceae. The record is from the annotation of a GenBank genome assembly.